This 7524-nucleotide long non-coding RNA is filed under the name Brassica napus (rape). RNAcentral describes it as "long non-coding RNA (BNAP_LNC013703)". Lineage: Eukaryota; Viridiplantae; Streptophyta; Magnoliopsida; Brassicales; Brassicaceae. The record is from RNAcentral.
GCCUUGACUAACACAGGUCAUUGAGCAACAGGAUCAUCAGGUGGCUCACUUUGCUCCCCUCCUCAAGCUUGGAUUGAGUAUGGGUCCAAGCUUGAAGUGAGCCUCAAUGAGCCUUAAGAUCAGGAGCGCAACAUCUCAUAGAGUGCGCUUCAACCACUGAUCAACCCUUCCCUUUAUCUCCAAUGCCUUCUGGUCACCGGUCUCCUCUAGACUUAGGUGAUGACCACUCGCCUUGUGUAUCCACACACACACCACAGCGACCAUUCCCAAUGGGUAAAGUCUUCCUCUUCUGCUCGGAUUGGUGAUGGACAGAGAGCACAUCUUGUGAACCUGAAACAUCACUCAAACUCCAGCAAAGAUAAGACACAAGCAUUGGGAUCAAUCCUUCACGGAUCACCAAGACACACGCAAAGUACCUUGAGCUUUUGAACUCUCAAGAAACUCUCAAACACACUCACUUGUUCUCUUAAAGUUUUAAACUUGAAUCCUUAAGAGAAUCACUCACGAACUCAGAUUUCAAUCAACCUGGCUCUGAUACCAUAUGAGAUUUAAGGAUGUAAAUGAUUAUCUGAGUUUAGAAAGGAUUAUUAUGCAACAGAUUGAAACAAGCAUUAUCAAGUUCACAUCUUUGCAAGCAAUCUCUCUAAGUACAAGCAAGAUCAAAUCAGAUUCAAGACAAGCUACUUAGGCAAUCAACCCUGCCUUAAUCCGCAAUCAUAGACAUCCAUCUAUGUGCUCAAUGUUAAGGCAGCAACAAGAUGACAAUAUGCUGUGACCUUAAUCAGUUUCUAGCUCAUGUAUGCAAUAAGAUCAGCCAAUGCUUUCUAUUAUCCUAACACACAUCACUUAUAACUGAGGCAAAGCAAUAUUAAUCAUCAAUCAACAUCAGACAAUGCAAAACCUUAAGUGAUUUCAGUUUAAUGAAAGCUAAUAGGAUUUAGACAGUUUCUAACAUCCUAGCACAAUCAUAACCAAACCGGGUAAGCAUUUUAUUUCUCAACAUCAAACAAGACUCUUAAAGCAUCCUGGGACUGAACUAGACAAUAUAAUAUAGCAUUUCAUAUCAAGAACCCACGGAUUGCAACACUACACAACACAACACACAACCAGUUUCAAUCACAAGCUCAUAUCAAGAAGGUUUAGGAUUAGCUUACAACCAAGGAACCUGAGCUGGUUCCUUGAGCCUCCUUGGUUAUAGGUCACGAAUCUGAUGGGUAAGAGAGCUGGAUCGUCACCCAACACCCUCUCCUUGUGUUCAUAACCUUCUCCUUGAAACCACAACUCAAAAGGCUCCACCUUUCUUCACAGCUCCAAGUCACCAACUUCAGGAACAAGGGGAAAGCUUUCUUCUUGAAUGGUUUCAGCUUGGACCAGAGUUGAGACACACCUUUAAUGGACUGGAGAGAGGAGGCACGACCAUGAUAAACCUCCUUGGCUUCAUACACCUUCUUCUUGAAGAGAGAGAACCAAAAGGACAGAUCUUCAAUGGCUUGGAUUUGAGAUGAGACUAGGCUUGUGAUGUAUAUGCGGAAGCUGGAACCAAGUUCUGAUGAACCUGGCUCUGAUACCAUGUUAGGUUUUCAGAGCUCAGGCUGUGUGUGUGAGAAGAAGCCACUAAGGGCGAAAUGAGAGCUUGAACUGAAGAGAGAAAGGUCUGAUGAAGAACAGUAUGAACUUGGACAGAAACAAGAGAUUUAGAGAGAUUAAGAGAUUUAAGUAUAAGAAAGGGGUAGUUUGAGGGAUUCUUAUCCAAGAACACACUUUGUAUUAUGAAGGAGGAGGGGAAAUCCCCCUCUCUCUCUUGAGAGACACAAAAACGUCCAUACAUAGCUUAUUUAUAAGCUUUACACAUUGCAAACUCAUAAACCCUUAAUCUAAUGGAUAGAAAUGACUGAAUUGAAAUAGAUGGCUAGGAUGGAGUCUGGUGGGUUGGUGAGGACGUGAUGGAUGCUGAUUGGUUGAUUCAAACUGGUCAAAGCAAGGGCUGGCUCCUGAUUGGUUCCCUUAAGGCUCCCAUGAACCUUAUUCACAAAGAUGUCUAGAUACAUGGUCAAGGCUGCUUUUCCUUUACAGCUCAAAGACAGCCUGUCAUUGACCACGCCCUAGCUCUCCCUUAUCCACAAACAGUCACAAGAUAACUCAGGUUUGUCUUCUCUUGCGCCGUAAGUUUGCACAGCUUCAUUUCAGGUUGAUCCGGAACAAGUACGGUCGAUGGUACGGACCGCCCAUCCGUACCUCGCCCUAUUUUUGUACCAACUCCCAAUCUGACUCCAAAUGGUGUCUAAGUAUGUCUAAGUCCCUCCUGGACUUGACCCUAACUUUGCACACCUCAUUUGGAUACUUCUGGACACUCCUGAACACUCCUAAAGCCUUGAUAGACAAUCUCCGGAGGUCUUGCCCUAUUCUUGCUCAAGACCCAAACUCAACCCAACUCCUCCAUUGGCUCCAUUUCUUUCUUCAAGUCAACACUCCCCCUCAAGCUUGACUCUAGGUGAUCCUAAGCCAAGCUUGGAACCUUGAAGAACUCCCUCAUUAAAAACCUCACCAAGGAAAACCCUUUGGGACAAAACCUUGAUGAGGGAAAAAGAGUAGAGCCUUCAAGGCCUAGGGAUUGGCCAGUGAGCCUAUGUGCCUUAGUAUCACUGAGGUUUAGGCACAUAGGCUCUGGAUCACGGCCUCUUCACUUCACCACACCUUCUUAGACUCUUCUAUAGAACCGGCUUAGUGUCUCCCCCUUUCACCUGACUUCAUGCCAUCUUGAAAGGCUAGGAACGACCUGAUCCUCUCCAUUGAGUCUCCAAGUAAGGUACCUGAUACAUCAUUCCACAAGUGUAUCAGUUCUCAAGAGAUAAACCUAUCAUGAAUGUAUAUAAAGAGAUUGAUCAGGUUUACUCCCUUGUUUAAAUGUUGAGGAGUGGCUGCUCUUCACACACCACUUGAAUCCCUCACUUGCUGAGCUUAACAGCUCCUUCUCUUAUCAUGCAAGCUCAUCCACACUCCCCCUCAAGCUUGAGACCGAGUAUAGGAAAGGUCCAAGCUUGAUAGUGAGCGCAUGUUAGCUCCAUGAUAAGCCUUGUGGAGAGCACCUCCAUCUCUUUCAGACUUGAUGCUUGAAUCCUCCACUACAUCACCAUUGCACUGAGGAGAUACCUCAGCCCACUCUCCAAGCAUCUCACACUAGCUUGUUGAGUGACUUUCUUCUUCCCUCCACUUCGGCUGGAUCACUCCAUGAUCAGCUUGCAAUGGCCUUGACUAACACAGGUCAUUGAGCAACAGGAUCAUCAGGUGGCUCACUUUGCUCCCCUCCUCAAGCUUGGAUUGAGUAUGGGUCCAAGCUUGAAGUGAGCCUCAAUGAGCCUUAAGAUCAGGAGCGCAACAUCUCAUAGAGUGCGCUUCAACCACUGAUCAACCCUUCCCUUUAUCUCCAAUGCCUUCUGGUCACCGGUCUCCUCUAGACUUAGGUGAUGACCACUCGCCUUGUGUAUCCACACACACACCACAGCGACCAUUCCCAAUGGGUAAAGUCUUCCUCUUCUGCUCGGAUUGGUGAUGGACAGAGAGCACAUCUUGUGAACCUGAAACAUCACUCAAACUCCAGCAAAGAUAAGACACAAGCAUUGGGAUCAAUCCUUGACUAAUCAUCAAGUUUGAUCUCCAAUGUCACAAGCUAUGCAACAGAUUGAAACAAGCAUUAUCAAGUUCACAUCUUUGCAAGCAAUCUCUCUAAGUACAAGCAAGAUCAAAUCAGAUUCAAGACAAGCUACUUAGGCAAUCAACCCUGCCUUAAUCCGCAAUCAUAGACAUCCAUCUAUGUGCUCAAUGUUAAGGCAGCAACAAGAUGACAAUAUGCUGUGACCUUAAUCAGUUUCUAGCUCAUGUAUGCAAUAAGAUCAGCCAAUGCUUUCUAUUAUCCUAACACACAUCACUUAUAACUGAGGCAAAGCAAUAUUAAUCAUCAAUCAACAUCAGACAAUGCAAAACCUUAAGUGAUUUCAGUUUAAUGAAAGCUAAUAGGAUUUAGACAGUUUCUAACAUCCUAGCACAAUCAUAACCAAACCGGGUAAGCAUUUUAUUUCUCAACAUCAAACAAGACUCUUAAAGCAUCCUGGGACUGAACUAGACAAUAUAAUAUAGCAUUUCAUAUCAAGAACCCACGGAUUGCAACACUACACAACACAACACACAACCAGUUUCAAUCACAAGCUCAUAUCAAGAAGGUUUAGGAUUAGCUUACAACCAAGGAACCUGAGCUGGUUCCUUGAGCCUCCUUGGUUAUAGGUCACGAAUCUGAUGGGUAAGAGAGCUGGAUCGUCACCCAACACCCUCUCCUUGUGUUCAUAACCUUCUCCUUGAAACCACAACUCAAAAGGCUCCACCUUUCUUCACAGCUCCAAGUCACCAACUUCAGGAACAAGGGGAAAGCUUUCUUCUUGAAUGGUUUCAGCUUGGACCAGAGUUGAGACACACCUUUAAUGGACUGGAGAGAGGAGGCACGACCAUGAUAAACCUCCUUGGCUUCAUACACCUUCUUCUUGAAGAGAGAGAACCAAAAGGACAGAUCUUCAAUGGCUUGGAUUUGAGAUGAGACUAGGCUUGUGAUGUAUAUGCGGAAGCUGGAACCAAGUUCUGAUGAACCUGGCUCUGAUACCAUGUUAGGUUUUCAGAGCUCAGGCUGUGUGUGUGAGAAGAAGCCACUAAGGGCGAAAUGAGAGCUUGAACUGAAGAGAGAAAGGUCUGAUGAAGAACAGUAUGAACUUGGACAGAAACAAGAGAUUUAGAGAGAUUAAGAGAUUUAAGUAUAAGAAAGGGGUAGUUUGAGGGAUUCUUAUCCAAGAACACACUUUGUAUUAUGAAGGAGGAGGGGAAAUCCCCCUCUCUCUCUUGAGAGACACAAAAACGUCCAUACAUAGCUUAUUUAUAAGCUUUACACAUUGCAAACUCAUAAACCCUUAAUCUAAUGGAUAGAAAUGACUGAAUUGAAAUAGUGGCUAGGAUGGAGUCUGGUGGGUUGCUGAGGACGUGAUGGAUGCUGAUUGUAUGAUUCAAACUGGUCAAAGCAAGGGCUGGCUCCUGAUUGGUUCCCUUAAGGCUCCCAUGAACCUUAUUCACAAAGAUGGCUAGAUACAUGGUCAAGGCUGCUUUUCCUUUACAGCUCAAAGACAGCCUGUCAUUGACCACGCCCUAGCUCUCCCUUAUCCACAAACAGUCACAAGAUAACUCAGGUUUGUCUUCUCUUGCGCCCUAAGUUUGCACAGCUUCAUUUCAGGUUGAUCCGGAACAAGUACGGUCGAUGGUACGGACCGCCUGUCCGUACCUCUCCUUAUUUUUGCACCAACUCCCAAUCUUCUCAAAUGGUUGAGUCUGAACAUGAUCUUGGUUGCCCUAAGUUCGUACGGUCCGUACCAUCCGUACCGAUGCUCGACCCUAUUUCUGCACCAUCACCCAACUGACUCCAAAUGGUGUCUAAGUAUGUCUAAGUCCCUCCUGGACUUGACCCUAACUUUGCACACCUCAUUUGGAUACUUCUGGACACUCAUGAACACUCCUAAAGCCUUGAUAGACAAUCUCCGGAGGUCUUGCCCUAUUCUUGCUCAAGACCCAAACUCAACCCAACUCCUCCAUUGGCUCCAUUUCUUUCUUCAAGUCAACACUCCCCCUCAAGCUUGACUCUAGGUGAUCCUAAGCCAAGCUUGGAACCUUGAAGAACUCUCUCGUUAAAAACCUCACCAAGGAAAACCCUUUGGGACAAAACCUUGAUGAGGGAAAAAGAGUAGAGCCUUCAAAGCCUAGGGAUUGGCCAGUGAGCCUAUGUGCCUUAGUAUCACUGAGGUUUAGGCACAUAGGCUCUGGAUCACGGCCUCUUCACUUCACCACACCUUCUUAGACUCUUCUAUAGAACCGGCGUAGUGUCUCCCCCUUUCACCUGACUUCAUGCCAUCUUGAAAGGCUAGGAACGACCUGAUCCUCUCCAUUGAGUCUCCAAGUAAGGUACCUGAUACAUCAUUCCACAAGUGUAUCAGUUCUCAAGAGAUAAACCUAUCAUGAAUGAAUAUAAAGAGAUUGAUCAGGUUUACUCCCUUGUUUAAAUGUUGUGGAGUGGCUGCUCUUCACACACCACUUGAAUCCCUCACUUGCUGAGCUUAACAGCUCCUUCUCUUAUCAUGCAAGCUCAUCCACACUCCCCCUCAAGCUUGAGACCGAGUAUAGGAAAGGUCCAAGCUUGAUAGUGAGCGCAUGUUAGCUCCAUGAUAAGCCUUGUGGAGAGCACCUCCAUCUCUUUCAGACUUGAUGCUUGAAUCCUCCACUACAUCACCAUUGCACUGAGGAGAUACCUCAGCCCACUCUCCAAGCAUCUCACACUAGCUUGUUGAGUGACUUUCUUCUUCCCUCCACUUCGGCUGGAUCACUCCAUGAUCAGCUUGCAAUGGCCUUGACUAACACAGGUCAUUGAGCAACAGGAUCAUCAGGUGGCUCACUUUGCUCCCCUCCUCAAGCUUGGAUUGAGUAUGGGUCCAAGCUUGAAGUGAGCCUCAAUGAGCCUUAAGAUCAGAAGCGCAACAUCUCAUAGAGUGCGCUUCAACCACUGAUCAACCCUUCCCUUUAUCUCCAAUGCCUUCUGGUCACCGGUCUCCUCUAGACUUAGGUGAUGACCACUCGCCUUGUGUAUCCACACACACACCACAGCGACCAUUCCCAAUGGGUAAAGUCUUCCUCUUCUGCUCGGAUUGGUGAUGGACAGAGAGCACAUCUUGUGAACCUGAAACAUCACUCAAACUCCAGCAAAGAUAAGACACAAGCAUUGGGAUCAAUCCUUGACUAAUCAUCAAGUUUGAUCUCCAAUGUCACAAGCUAUGCAACAGAUUGAAACAAGCAUUAUCAAGUUCACAUCUUUGCAAGCAAUCUCUCUAAGUACAAGCAAGAUCAAAUCAGAUUCAAGACAAGCUACUUAGGCAAUCAACCCUGCCUUAAUCCGCAAUCAUAGACAUCCAUCUAUGUGCUCAAUGUUAAGGCAGCAACAAGAUGACAAUAUGCUGUGACCUUAAUCAGUUUCUAGCUCAUGUAUGCAAUAAGAUCAGCCAAUGCUUUCUAUUAUCCUAACACACAUCACUUAUAACUGAGGCAAAGCAAUAUUAAUCAUCAAUCAACAUCAGACAAUGCAAAACCUUAAGUGAUUUCAGUUUAAUGAAAGCUAAUAGGAUUUAGACAGUUUCUAACAUCCUAGCACAAUCAUAACCAAACCGGGUAAGCAUUUUAUUUCUCAACAUCAAACAAGACUCUUAAAGCAUCCUGGGACUGAACUAGACAAUACAAUAUAGCAUUUCAUAUCAAGAACCCACGGAUUGCAACACUACACAACACAACACACAACCAGUUUCAAUCACAAGCUCAUAUCAAGAAGGUUUAGGAUUAGCUUACAACCAAGGAACCUGAGCUGGUUCCUUGAGCCUCCUUGGUUAUAGGUCACGAAUCUGAUGGGUAAGAGAGCUGGAUGGUCACCCAACACCCUCUCCUUGUGUUCAUAAC